Molecule: non-coding RNA, 450 nt
Filed under: Azonexus hydrophilus
Lineage: Bacteria; Pseudomonadati; Pseudomonadota; Betaproteobacteria; Rhodocyclales; Azonexaceae
Description: cspA thermoregulator
Rfam family: cspA thermoregulator
Source: Rfam by way of RNAcentral
GAUGGACGAAUUUAAUGUUUUUUUGCGGUCGACCGCAAAAAAUCUUAAAAAAAGCUUUGCUUAUUUCCCUUAUGCCCCCAUACUCAAGGUUCGGGAUUUCCAGGCAGUGUGUUGUUCCUGCACCGUAAUCGGUUUGUCAGCUCCUCGGUCUUGGUUCUCGUUCUUAUUAAUAUUUUUUCCAAGGAAGCUAUAAAAUGGCAACUGGUACCGUCAAGUGGUUCAACGACUCCAAAGGUUUUGGUUUCAUCUCCCCGUCUGAAGGUGGUGAAGACCUCUUCGCUCACUUCUCUGCAAUUCAAGGCAAUGGUUUCAAGACCCUGGCCGAGAACCAGAAGGUGACGUUCGACGUCGUCAAUGGCCCGAAGGGCAAGCAGGCUGCCAACAUCCGCCCGGCUGAAUAAGCUACCGGAUACGCCUGUAUCGAAAAGCCCGGCUUGCCGGGCUUUUUGC